Molecule: ribosomal RNA, 637 nt
Filed under: uncultured Thermoproteales archaeon
Lineage: Archaea; Thermoproteati; Thermoproteota; Thermoprotei; Thermoproteales
Description: bacterial SSU rRNA
Rfam family: Archaeal small subunit ribosomal RNA
Source: RNAcentral
UCAAAGGGGAUUAGAUACCCCUGUAGUCCCGGCCGUAAACGAUGCGGGCUAGCUGUCGGCCGGGCUUAGGGCCCGGCCGGUGGCGAAGGGAAACCGUUAAGCCCGCCGCCUGGGGAGUACGGCCGCAAGGCUGAAACUUAAAGGAAUUGGCGGGGGGGCACCACAAGGGGUGAAGCUCGCGGCUUAAUUGGAGUCAACGCCGGAAACCUCACCCGGGGCGACAGCAGGAUGAAGGCCAGGCUAACGACCUUGCCGGACGAGCUGAGAGGAGGUGCAUGGCCGUCGUCAGCUCGUGCCGUGAGGUGUCCGGUUAAGUCCGGCAACGAGCGAGACCCCCGCCCCUAGUUGCUUUCCCGCCCUUCGGGGCGGGAGGCACACUAGGGGGACUGCCGGCGUAAGCCGGAGGAAGGAGGGGGCCACGGCAGGUCAGUAUGCCCCGAAACCCCGGGGCUGCACGCGAGCUGCAAUGGCGGGGACAGCGGGAUCCGACCCCGAAAGGGGGAGGCAAUCCCGUAAACCCCGCCCCAGUAGGGAUCGAGGGCUGCAACUCGCCCUCGUGAACGUGGAAUCCCUAGUAACCGCGUGUCACCAACGCGCGGUGAAUACGUCCCUGCCCCUUGCACACACCGCCCGUCAA